RNAcentral lists this ribosomal RNA (447 nucleotides) under Triticum aestivum (bread wheat). RNAcentral describes it as "partial small subunit ribosomal RNA". Lineage: Eukaryota; Viridiplantae; Streptophyta; Magnoliopsida; Poales; Poaceae. The record is from RNAcentral.
AUGGACGCCACCACCGAGGUGCGAUCGACGAUGUCGACAUGCACCGACGACUCGGGCGACGAUGAUGACCACAUCACGGUGAUGGUGGUGGGCGAGGCGGACGAGGAAGGCAUGGCGGACGAGUUCAUGGCGGAGUUUUACGUGAGGUUCGUGGAGCCUGGGCAUGUCUCUUACACGGAGAGGCACGUGAGAAACGGGGUGGGGAUGGUGGAAUCGCUGUGGUCCAUGGUCGGGAUGUACUCGUUGUUCAUGGUGGGCAAGGGUGGCGGUGGCGGCGGCACGGCGGCGGAGAUGACGAAAGGCAUGGGAGGCUUAAACGAGGAAUGCCCGGAGCUGGGGCCUAUCGGCGACUUCCUGUCGUCGGACGACUUGCUCGGCUAUGGCGCCUCCGUGCUAGUGCUCCGGCGCCACAACGUGCGAAAGAAGACGAGAGGAACGACCCAAUGA